Long non-coding RNA from Eriocheir sinensis (Chinese mitten crab), 814 nucleotides. RefSeq lists it as uncharacterized. The transcript has 3 exons. The record is from RefSeq and is a predicted model, not a curated record. NCBI's taxonomy places the organism in Eukaryota, Metazoa, Arthropoda, Malacostraca, Decapoda, Varunidae.
CUCGGACACAGCAGAGGGCGCUGUUUUGGCCCGGCCGUAGUGAGUUUCUUUAUGUGCACCAUGUAAUUCUGCAUGUUUUCAUAUAUAAUACAUGAUGAUUAUGUUGAGUUUAUGGCUGAAAGCUUGUCAUAUUCAAUAGCGACAUUUGAAAUUUAGCGCGCGUGGCGAUCUCGGAUACAGUGCGGGGUGUUGUUUUGGCCUGGCCGUAGUGAGUUUCUUUAUGUGUACCAUUUAACCCUUUAUCGGGCAAGUGACUGUCAACAGUCACUUAAAACGGCCAUCUUCUCGGCCUCCUCGUAUAUAUCCGUUAACUCCAAGCUGAUGUGUUCUGGGCGUCAGCCAAUCACAAAACACUCUUCUAUGUUGUGACUCAUGAAGCAGACGGAAUCCUUUGUUUUUAUUGGCUGGGCAGCAAGACAAACACGGCAGUGUGUGAUCGGCUUCGAGACGUGGUGCAUCUAACGUUGAGUGCUCUCCACUCAUCUCGUCUCUGCAUACUACAGAAUGUCGAUCAGCCUCACUUCAUUUUACGGUCAAAACCGCAAAGUCAUUGUACCAACCAACCCUGCUGGUAGUGAUGAUGACCAAGAGCUUGACCUAUCUGCUGAUGAUGACGCUGACCCUGACUUCGAGCCUGUGCUAUCCCAGGAUUCUUCCAGUGAAGAUGAACUCAGGCCUAGCCACCAGCUCAAGCGUCAGAAAGCUUCUUCUCAAACAAGGAACCUUGCAAUAGCUGAUGUGGAAGAUGACUCUGGAGAGGAUGGAAGCGAUCAAGAAAACACCACUUCAGCUUCAUCACCGUCAUGGGAAAAAA